UCGCGCGUGUACCAAACAUACACAAACAUAAAUUUAUAUAAAAAUUACACACACUUCGAAGGUAAAAACACUACGUACACUCGGCCUAUACAACGGCUGCUUUCGGGUGGCGGGGGGGGGGGGGUUCUCUCUUACUCUCCCGCUCACUCCUCGGACGACAAAUCCGCCGUCGCCGAUUUUUUUUAUUAUUCACCUUCAUAUUGUUAUAUUUUUACGCAGCUGUAAGCGUGUGCAUACACGCAGGUGCGUCAGAUGAUGGAUUUAUCCUUUUUUAACCGUCCGAUAUCACGACGAAACUGACGGUAAUGCAAUGAGAGAUCUUGAUGGUGGCCGGAGGACGAGCAUGGUCAAGAGACUGCAGUACCCCUGUGAUGUGUGUACAACUAACAAUAGCGAUUUACCCAAAAUGGUAAUCUUAUGGUUCACCAGCAGACGCAUAUGGGAGAGAAAACGUACUAGUGUGCGACGUGUGUCCAAAGUUGUUCGUAACCAGCAGUAAUCUCAAGGUAACAUAUUAGAAAAGUUCAAAGAUCGAAGUAAGGAAAUUAAUCACAAGGCCUCAAGGGACACGUGAGGGCUCUGCGUGAUGGAUGCCAUAUUUUUCACUGGAUUGGAAUAUUGGUUAAGUAAUAAUCCAACUCUG
Long non-coding RNA from Metopolophium dirhodum (rose-grain aphid), 643 nucleotides. RefSeq lists it as uncharacterized. The record is from RefSeq and is a predicted model, not a curated record. Lineage: Eukaryota; Metazoa; Arthropoda; Insecta; Hemiptera; Aphididae. The transcript has 3 exons.